RNAcentral lists this transfer RNA (72 nucleotides) under Limosilactobacillus reuteri. RNAcentral's name for it is "tRNA-Thr". It matches the Rfam family "tRNA". From Rfam's summary of the family: Transfer RNA (tRNA) molecules are approximately 80 nucleotides in length. The record is from RNAcentral. Lineage: Bacteria; Bacillati; Bacillota; Bacilli; Lactobacillales; Lactobacillaceae. RNAcentral also lists the same sequence under 1 other name.
AACACGUUAGUUUAAAUGGGGAAGCACCACUAUGGUAAUGUGGAGAUAUGGGUUCGAAUCCUGUACGUGUUA